UCUAGAAGAUCCUACGGGGGGCUGCAGUGGGGAAUUUUGCGCAAUGGGGGAAACCCUGACGCAGCAACGCCGCGUGGAGGAUGAAGUCCUUCGGGACGUAAACUCCUUUCGAUCGGGACGAUUAUGACGGUACCGGAAGAAGAAGCCCCGGCUAACUUCGUGCCAGCAGCCGCGGUAAUACGAGGGGGCGAGCGUUGUUCGGAAUUAUUGGGCGUAAAGGGUGCGUAGGCGGUUUGGUAAGUCUUAUGUGAAAUCUAUGGGCUCAACUCAUAGUCUGCAUGAGAAACUGCCGGGCUUGAGUGUGGGAGAGGUGAGUGGAAUUCCUGGUGUAGCGGUGAAAUGCGUAGAUAUCAGGAGGAACACCUGUGGCGAAAGCGGCUCACUGGACCAUAACUGACGCUGAUGCACGAAAGCUAGGGGAGCAAACAGGAUUAGAUACCCCUGUAGUC
This 449-nucleotide ribosomal RNA is filed under the name uncultured Acidobacteriota bacterium. Its description in RNAcentral is "bacterial SSU rRNA". It matches the Rfam family "Bacterial small subunit ribosomal RNA", at positions 328 to 795 of the family's 1533-position model. Lineage: Bacteria; Pseudomonadati; Acidobacteriota. The record is from RNAcentral.